AACUGAUUAAGCUGAAGGCCAAGAGCAGAGGAAAGACCAGCAAACCACCUCAUGCUAACAGCAGCAGCAACAACAAGAACAACAACAGCAGCAGCAACAACAAGAACAACAGCAGCAGCAGCAGCAACAACAAGAACAAAAACAGCAGCAGCAGCAACAACCACAAAACCAGUAACAACCAAACCCCCAGAUUCUGUUGACCAAGAAAAGAAGGAUCCAGAGGCCCUGAGCUCAGGAAGUGUUGCUGCCAUCGUAAUUGUCUUUAUUGCCAUUGUACUAAUUUUACUUGUUGGUGCGUACUACUUCAAAAUGCGACGCUCUUCUUACAGACGUCUUUUGGAUGAUAGCGAUCACAACUCUGUGGGGAAUUUUCUUAACCCAGUGUUUGAUGGCUAAAUGGGGAAGCGUUGAUGAAGAAACAUUUUCUAAAGAAAACAACCUACACGUCUUUAGCAAUGAAUAUGAUAACAUCAGAUUCAGUAUUUUGAACCCAAAAUAAGAUGCACUGACCAGAAUCAUCAAGAAGUUUUAGAGUGUAGGCAAGACUUCCUGUGAGUAUUAGUAUGAAGGCAGGUUGCAGGGCAUUUUGGUCCCGUUCAAAGGAAAUUUUAAGUGAUGUCCUAGAAAUUUCUUUUUUAUUUGUUUGUGUAAUGUAUCACCUUGGGUAUAUUUUUCGACUUUUUCACGUUGCUUUUUCUGUUUGUCUUAUGAUCAUUUUUUUAAGAGUAAAUAAACCACAUUACUAACAUUAGCUGUAUUUUUCUAAAUCGAAGCCUCACAUCUCAAACAGGCCACAUGCUAUCAUUAUUGGUCUCAAAGAGUGACCUUAUCAUAUACCAUAAUUACAGCUCUGGCCUCAGCUGUGGCCUCCCACUAUUCAUCCAAAGACAGCCUCUUUUUUUUAAACACGAAGACCGUUUAACAUUUCUGUAAUCUCAACAAUAACAGAUUUUUCCCCCUUGUCAUUGUAAUGGCAGGGAUCCACAAGCAGCAUGCAAUUAAGCAUUUAAACCGUCAAGACUGUUAUUAGAGACUUAAAAAUAAGCCAUCAAGCAAAUGAAGGCACAUUAACAAAACAUCUGGUGUUCUGGCCUGUUUGAGAUCGAGUUAAGUUAGUCGUGCUACAGCAGUUUACCACAUCCAGAAAUGUAUUUUUGAAUGUUUAAAACCACUUAUGUAGCUUCCUCUCCUAGUUUUUUGUUACCUGUUUAACAGCAAACGCUGUUUCCUGUUUUUGCAAAUGCUCUAGUUUCAAGAAUGGUAUAAACCACAGGAGCAUUGUUUAAAUCACUGGUCUAAAGCAGCAGCAACUAAUUGUAAAACUGUCAAUGUCAAAUUAUUGUAUUAAAAAUCGCUAAUA
Sinocyclocheilus grahami is the source of this 1360-nucleotide long non-coding RNA. NCBI's taxonomy places the organism in Eukaryota, Metazoa, Chordata, Actinopteri, Cypriniformes, Cyprinidae. The record is from Ensembl.